CAGUGCGGCAGGCCCUUAUACAUGCAAGUCGAGCGCAUCCUUCGGGAUGAGCGGCGGACGGGUGAGUAAUGCGAGGGAAUGUGCCCUUCUCUACGGAAUAGCCACUGGAAACGGUGAGUAAUACCGUAUACGCCCUCAGGGGGAAAGAUUUAUCGGAGAAGGAUCAGCCCGCGCUAGAUUAGGUAGUUGGUGGGGUAAUGGCCUACCAAGCCUACGAUCUAUAGCUGGUUUUAGAGGAUGAUCAGCAACACUGGGACUGGGACACGGCCCAGACUCCUACGGGAGGCAGCAGUGGGGAAUCUUAGACAAUGGGGGCAACCCUGAUCUAGCCAUGCCGCGUGAGUGAUGAAGGCCUUAGGGUCGUAAAGCUCUUUCGCCUGUGAUGAUAAUGACAGUAGCAGGUAAAGAAACCCCGGCUAACUCCGUGCCAGCAGCCGCGGUAAUACGGAGGGGGUUAGCGUUGUUCGGAAUUACUGGGCGUAAAGCGCGCGUAGGCGGAUUAGAAAGUUGGGGGUGAAAUCCCGGGGCUCAACCCCGGAACUGCCUCCAAAACUGCUAGUCUAGAGUUCGAGAGAGGUGAGUGGAAUUCCGAGUGUAGAGGUGAAAUUCGUAGAUAUUCGGAGGAACACCAGUGGCGAAGGCGGCUCACUGGCUCGAUACUGACGCUGAGGUGCGAAAGUGUGGGGAGCAAACAGGAUUAGAUACCCUGGUAGUCCACACCGUAAACGAUGAAUGCCAGUCGUCGGGAUAGUAUAC
This 756-nucleotide ribosomal RNA is filed under the name uncultured bacterium. Its description in RNAcentral is "bacterial SSU rRNA". It matches the Rfam family "Bacterial small subunit ribosomal RNA", at positions 36 to 836 of the family's 1533-position model. The record is from RNAcentral.